UAGGGAAUCUUCGGCAAUGGACGAAAGUCUGACCGAGCAACGCCGCGUGAGUGAAGAAGGUUUUCGGAUCGUAAAACUCUGUUGGUAGAGAAGAACGUUGGUGAGAGUGGAAAAGCUCAUCAAGUGACGGUAACUACCCAGAAAGGGACGGCUAACUACGUGCC
This 164-nucleotide ribosomal RNA is filed under the name uncultured bacterium. RNAcentral describes it as "partial 16S ribosomal RNA". It matches the Rfam family "Bacterial small subunit ribosomal RNA", at positions 355 to 509 of the family's 1533-position model. The record is from RNAcentral.